This 400-nucleotide long non-coding RNA is filed under the name Hordeum vulgare. RNAcentral describes it as "long non-coding RNA (HVUL_LNC003172)". The record is from RNAcentral. Lineage: Eukaryota; Viridiplantae; Streptophyta; Magnoliopsida; Poales; Poaceae.
AGAAGUUCCAACUCGCCACCGGUUCUUCUCUCUGUGCUGCUGCUACGUUCUUCCUCAUCCCGUCCUGCGGUGUGCACCGUUCGUCGGGACAGUAGGCCUCCGAAACUCCGUCUCUUCGAGUCCUGUACGGGAGAAGGGCGAUAAGGUUUUUGGGGAGAGCUCAGCGCGACUACUGGCUUCCAUCACGGACACCGACGAUCUCUUCCCGGACGACGACUACUUCCCCGACGUUGACCACCUCUUCGGUACCAUGGCCAACGACAACGCCAACACCAAUCCUCCUGCUGCUGCAACUCACUACGUACUCAUGUGCUUCUUCUUUGAAUUCCUAUCACACCUUUUUGCUAUAGUUUCUCUGCUAGAUAUGUUCCGUUUCUACUCUUUACACCAUAUGAUACCU